CAUUGAGAUACUGACAACCUUGGUUGUUGGCGAUGUAAGCAAGUAGGUCACAUCUAUAGAAGUAAAUGCCAGGCUGGAUUCACCCUCAGAACCUCCCACUAGCAGGAUACCGCCGCCACACUUACAACUGAUUAUAAUAUGGAGCCCUGCAGCAAAACCCCCUGGGGUGAGAACGUUCCCUGACGAUCGUUACAUUGUUAACAUCACGGAACUGUUCUAUACCAGUGCCAGUAAACAAACUAAACACCACCAGCGCCACGCUCAGGAAUAUUCCAGCUCUAUGACAGCGGUCUGGACCCGACAAUCCAG
Molecule: long non-coding RNA, 309 nt
Organism: Haliotis rufescens (red abalone)
Lineage: Eukaryota; Metazoa; Mollusca; Gastropoda; Lepetellida; Haliotidae
Exons: 3
Source: RefSeq, a predicted model, not a curated record